Molecule: ribosomal RNA, 496 nt
Filed under: uncultured bacterium
Lineage: Bacteria
Description: partial 16S ribosomal RNA
Rfam family: Bacterial small subunit ribosomal RNA
Source: RNAcentral
AUGAACGCUGGCGGCGUGCCUAAUACAUGCAAGUCGAGCGAACAGACGAGGAGCUUGCUCCUCUGACGUUAGCGGCGGACGGGUGAGUAACACGUGGAUAACCUACCUAUAAGACUGGGAUAACUUCGGGAAACCGGAGCUAAUACCGGAUAAUAUAUUGAACCGCAUGGUUCAAUAGUGGAAGACGGUUUUGCUGUCACUUAUAGAUGGAUCCGCGCCGCAUUAGCUAGUUGGUAAGGUAACGGCUUACCAAGGCAACGAUGCGUAGCCGACCUGAGAGGGUGAUCGGCCACACUGGAACUGAGACACGGUCCAGACUCCUACGGGAGGCAGCAGUAGGGAAUCUUCCGCAAUGGGCGAAAGCUUGACGGAGCAACGCCGCGUGAGUGAUGAAGGUCUUCGGAUCGUAAAACUCUGUUAUUAGGGAAGAACAAAUGUGUAAGUAACUAUGCACGUCUUGACGGUACCUAAUCAGAAAGCCACGGCUAACUACGUG